UUUUGCGAUGAUGAUCACUGUGUAUCCCAGCUCAUUACGAGACCUUUUGUGGUCCGGGAAUAAAUUAGAUUCACAUAUUAUCUGAGCCCAGAA
Malus domestica (apple) is the source of this 93-nucleotide small nucleolar RNA. The record is from RefSeq and is a predicted model, not a curated record. Lineage: Eukaryota; Viridiplantae; Streptophyta; Magnoliopsida; Rosales; Rosaceae.